UGGGGACGACGUCAAGUCAUCAUCGGCCCUUACGUCCAGGGCUACACACGUGCUACAAUGGGUCGGUACAACGGGAAGCAAUACCGCGAGGUGGAGCAAAUCCCUGAAAACCGGCCUCAGUUCAGAUUGUAGGCUGCAACCCGCCUGCAUGAAGAUGGAGUUGCUAGUAACCGCAGGUCAGCUAUACUGCGGUGAAUACGUUCCCGGGGCUU
Molecule: ribosomal RNA, 212 nt
Filed under: uncultured Anaerolineaceae bacterium
Lineage: Bacteria; Bacillati; Chloroflexota; Anaerolineae; Anaerolineales; Anaerolineaceae
Description: partial 16S ribosomal RNA
Rfam family: Bacterial small subunit ribosomal RNA
Source: RNAcentral